This 497-nucleotide ribosomal RNA is filed under the name uncultured bacterium. Its description in RNAcentral is "partial 16S ribosomal RNA". It matches the Rfam family "Bacterial small subunit ribosomal RNA", at positions 28 to 507 of the family's 1533-position model. The record is from RNAcentral.
GAUGAACGCUGGCGGCGUGCCUAAUACAUGCAAGUCGAGCGAACAGACGAGGAGCUUGCUCCUCUGACGUUAGCGGCGGACGGGUGAGUAACACGUGGAUAACCUACCUAUAAGACUGGGAUAACUUCGGGAAACCGGAGCUAAUACCGGAUAAUAUAUUGAACCGCAUGGUUCAAUAGUGAAAGACGGUUUUGCUGUCACUUAUAGAUGGAUCCGCGCCGCAUUAGCUAGUUGGUAAGGUAACGGCUUACCAAGGCAACGAUGCGUAGCCGACCUGAGAGGGUGAUCGGCCACACUGGAACUGAGACACGGUCCAGACUCCUACGGGAGGCAGCAGUAGGGAAUCUUCCGCAAUGGGCGAAAGCCUGACGGAGCAACGCCGCGUGAGUAAUGAAGGUCUUCGGAUCGUAAAACUCUGUUAUUAGGGAAGAACAAAUGUGUAAGUAACUAUGCACGUCUUGACGGUACCUAAUCAGAAAGCCACGGCUAACUACAUG